RNAcentral lists this ribosomal RNA (433 nucleotides) under uncultured bacterium. RNAcentral's name for it is "partial 16S ribosomal RNA". It matches the Rfam family "Bacterial small subunit ribosomal RNA", at positions 29 to 507 of the family's 1533-position model. The record is from RNAcentral.
AACGAACGCUGGCGGCAGGCCUAACACAUGCAAGUCGAGCGAGACCUUCGGGUCUAGCGGCGGAAGGGUGAGUAACGCGUGGGAACGUGCCCUUUUCUGCGGAAUAGCCUCGGGAAACUGAGCGUAAUACCGCAUACGCCCUAUGGGGGAAAGAUUUAUCGGAAAAGGAUCGGCCCGCGUUGGAUUAGGUAGUUGGUGGGGUAAUGGCCUACCAAGCCUACGAUCCAUAGCUGGUUUGAGAGGAUGAUCAGCCACACUGGGACUGAGACACGGCCCAGACUCCUACGGGAGGCAGCAGUGGGGAAUCUUAGACAAUGGGGGCAACCCUGAUCUAUCCAUGCCGCGUGAGUGAUGAAGGCCUUAGGGUUGUAAAGCUCUUUCAGCUGGGAAGAUAAUGACGGUACCAGCAGAAGAAGCCCCGGCUAACUCCGUG